GGCCAAUACAAACCAUUGUGUGGAAAUCUAUUCACAAACCAGACUUUACAUAGGACACGAGGUCAUGCGUUUAGACUGGAAGAAAGAAGAUUUCGUCUAAGGCAAAGGAAAGGUUUUUUUUUUUACUGUAAGAACAAUAAGGAUGUGGAAUUCUCUGCCUGAAGAAGUGGUUUUAUCAGAGUCCAUACAGAUGUUCAAACAGCUACUAGAUGCAUACUUGCAAAAACAGAAUAUUCAAGGAUAUAAUCUUUCAAUGUAGGGUAAUAACUGCUUGAUCCAAG
Molecule: long non-coding RNA, 281 nt
Filed under: Pelobates cultripes (western spadefoot toad)
Lineage: Eukaryota; Metazoa; Chordata; Amphibia; Anura; Pelobatidae
Source: RNAcentral